GGAGCGCGGAGCGCGCGCGCGCGCGCGCGUGGCGGCGCCCCGGCGCGGGGCCGGGUCCGGCGGGCCAGUCGGUCGGCUCCCCGCGCCGCUCCGUUUGUUCCUGGGUUCGUUCGUUCGUUCGUUCCUUCCUUCCCCGGCCCCGCGCCGGCGCCGGCGCGGGGUUGGAAAGAGGGGGAGAGGGGCGGGGGGCGCGGCCGGCCCCCUUCCCCGUUUCCGUCCCCGCGGCGCGUGCCGUGGGACGGGCUCCCUCCGUUUUACCCGAGCCCGGGGGUUGACCUGGCGGCCGGGCUAGGGGGCGCUCCGCGUCCCCCUUCGGGGGGUUGACCUGUCGGGCG
RNAcentral lists this unclassified non-coding RNA (335 nucleotides) under Gallus gallus (chicken). Its description in RNAcentral is "3' external transcribed spacer". The record is from RNAcentral. Lineage: Eukaryota; Metazoa; Chordata; Aves; Galliformes; Phasianidae.